This is a non-coding RNA of Electrophorus electricus (electric eel), 4160 nucleotides long. Lineage: Eukaryota; Metazoa; Chordata; Actinopteri; Gymnotiformes; Gymnotidae. The record is from RefSeq and is a predicted model, not a curated record.
GAGAAUAAGGCAAAAAGUAGAGGAUACUUGAGAUGAGAAAUAAACAAAUUAAUUCAAAAAAGGAGAGAGAGAGAAGGUGAGAUGAGAGGGUUUUAUUUCUACUUAUCAGAGCAGAACAAAUAAAUCAGAAAUGGAGCCUAACACCCCCACCCAAACAGGCUGGCUUUCACCCCUACCCCCACCUUUCUCCACCCAUCCAUCUCGUUUCCAUUUCAUCUCUCUCUCAGCCUCACACUCUCUCUCUCUCUCUCUCACGACAGGCGCUGAUAUUUGCAUAGGUGCAUCUGACUGUGAUAAGAGAACGAAUGAAACAAAAGUGCUUAUCUCACUAUUCAUUAAUAUUCAUGAGCACCUGGGGAGCACAGUAAUGCGGACGGAAAGCGCCCGUGGGCUGAGCUUUCACAGCGCACGCCGGAACACGUGUGCGCGCACGUUUGAGUGUCUGAAUGCACUAAUUCAUUUAUUUGGUGUUUUAUAACAUUAUGCUUGCGUUUGACCCAAUACAUGCGGUCAGCAUGGCCAGCAGGGGGAGCCAUAUCUCUCUCGGUGUGUAUAUUCUUGCGUAUCCUUGUUAGGCCCUGUGGCUAAUUUUAUAUAAUGGGAGCAGAUGAUGGUUUACACACAAGCCCUAGAUCUAGUAGCCUGCUCUGGCUCUGUUACCUUUCCAAUAGCCAGUUAGCACCCACGUAAGCUGAGCUCAGCUCUCUAGCAGGUAGACGGCGCGGGAUGGAGGGAGAGUUCUAGAUGAUGUGAGCUAAAUGUCUCCUUCACCCCUUUUCUCUUUUGGUCUGUGCCACAGCGAUGUUGUAAACACCACACAUCUUGCCGAGGAAGACUAGAGCAGCACAGACUUCGGUCUGACGAACAAAAUUGCUUUCACUGACGCCUAGAGGUCAGAGUUCACUGGUCUCACUUAAUUUCAGCUGAAAGGGAGAGAGAGUGAGGCAGAAAUGUCCCCUCUGCACCUCGGCGUUCUCCAGGGACACGCGUGACCUCGGCGUUCUCCAGGGACACGAGUGUUCUGGAUGAGGAACAGUUUCCCAUUAAAGGAGCUUUUGAUUGGGAUAAGGAUCAUGUGACCUAGUCGCUAUAUUUGACUAUGUGGUCCAGUGCAGAUGUCUCUCUCCCUCACGCACGCACACACAAGGCCAGACUUCCCUUGGUGAGCUGGUCUUUGGUCCCUCUGUAAAGAACUCUGCCAUAACACACAUAUUCUGGGUGAAUAACUCCAGCCCCACAGCCUCUCGCAAGUCUGUGUGAGAAGGGAUUUACUAGCACGGUCGAAGAGCCAGGUUCCUCUCACGUCUCUGGCGUCGCUGUACACCUCUCUGCCUGGGGGGUGUGUGGGGGUGUGGGUGGGGUAAACGGAGAACCGGAGGUAUUGGGCAACAGUCAAAUCUGGACCCUUUCAGUGCUUUUUUUCUGGAGGUUUUCAAUUCCAAACAGGCAAUCAGAUUCCUAGUCACUGACUGGCCACUUUGUCAUUACUAGUGUCUCCCUGGUAAAGGGAAAACGACAGAAUCUUGAGGGCUGUGUUUUUAACUACGAAUUACAAAAUCCCACACCAUUUUGGUUUAGACUCAUCUGGUCUGAUGAGUUCUCUCUAUUGUGAAAAACCUGUACAGACACAUUCCCCUCUUCAAAAUCCCCUCAAACCGUGAGGAGAUGGCAACGUUUUCAAAACGUGAGUUUAACCUAAGGGGAAUGGCUGUUCAAGCAACACUGGUCUUUAAGGGAUUACUUAGAGGAAAUCCAAUACUUAAGGGAAGACAUGAGUAUGUGUAAUGAUUUCACUUAUGAAAACCACUUAAGACUUUCUAAGUGCUGUUUAAGACUUUCUUGUGUGACACAUUUAUCUUUAAGAAACCGUUCCACGUAUUCUAAAUUGAAAAUUCAGCGUGUGGUUUGUAAUAUAACUGGGCCAUGGUCUUUAGUCCACGAACAAGGGCUUCCUGAGGCAGCGACGUUCCUCAGUCAUUGCAUGAAAUCACUUCAAAGAAACUUUAGCUCCUCCCCGACUUCUCACUGGCUAACGUCACCGUUGCUCUGUGAAAGGCUGACGCUGUGAAUGGCUGGUCCAAGCAGAUGUAUGUAGCAAGAGUACGGAAUGUUCAGAUGCCGUGUGUCCUGCUCAAGGCUGUUAAGUGAGUGUAAAGUUUGUUGUGAGGGUGACAGGCAGAAGUCACGCGCACACACACACACACACACACACACACACACUCACUCACUGUAUAGCUCAAACUGAGAAUUAUAAGCCUCUUUGUAACAUGUGCUGGUUGUAAGAAUGUGUAUUAAGUGUGGGGAUGCAUUCAGUGUAAAUCCAGUCUUAAUUGCUUUUGAAACCUUGAAAAUGGUCCUGACUCACUGUUAUUGCCAGUAAAUGUCUGAUAAAUGAUUUUUUAUUGUGGCACGUGUGGUUUUGUGUAGUAUGCGGUGUGUAAGGGGUAGUUCUGUACUGGUGCAUGGUGAGCUGUUUGUAUAUGUGGGCAGAUAUACAGAAGAGAUGAGCGUGCCGUGACGUCCGCGUUCGUUAGCGCUGUGCUUCGACAGCGGAGCUGACACUUCCCGGUCCUUAUUACAGAAGAUCUCAGCUCAUCACCCCCGUCAGUCUGAUCCAGGACCAGCAUGCCUCUGCCUUCUCGGCAUUUCACACUGCGAAAGGUUGAUCUACACCUAUGUCAAAAAUGCCUGUGGGCGCGUGCACAUGAGGAGGUGUGUGCUAAUGUGUGGGAUGAGCUCUGGAAAAGCGGAGUGGAGAAGGAGGUGAAGAGGAGCAGAGGAGCAGAGGGGUCGUAGUUCCCUGACUGGGGAGCCACUUAGGCAGCACACCCCAAGAGUUGCAGGUACACACCUCACCCUCACGAGAGAAAGAGCGUGUGUGUGUGUGCGUGUGCGUGUUCUUUCUCUUACACACACACACAAGCACAAAAUACACAGAACUCUUAAAAUGUUUCCUUUACCAGGAAGGCUUUCUUUGGUAAGGGCUCCUCGGGUUCCCCUGAACUGCACAGGCUGAGGUUUUCCGGCUCCCAACACCCCUCGUCCAAUUCCUUCAUUAUUUAUCAAACCUUUUAACAAUGAGUAAACAGCUCAACAGCUGCAGAGCUAAACAAAAACAAAACUGGCACCUACACUCCUCUAUAAUAAAAUACACAGAACUAUUUCCCUCUAAAUGGAUUACACCGACCUUCCUCUAAGCAUUGUGUACUGAAGUAAACACACUCUUACAAAACCUGAUCAUAUUGAUUCAUUUAUUUAUAGAAUGCCAGAACCAAUGGGUUUUGUCCUUCUACUUGUUUGCUGACACAUUUAUUGCCAAGUAAACUUAAUACAAGAAAGCUUUACUGUGUCAUGCCUUUGUGAUUUUGGUCUGGGUCAUUAAAUCGGGUUGGUUGUGUAUGUGCUGUAAUUGUGGCAGUGCAGGUCAUUAAAAAGCAAAACAGCUGUACAGUGAGUACAGUGUUGGGCACAGUGUUAAGAUCAAUGUUAGUGUGUUAGGCACUGUGCUGAGCAGUGUGUUAGUGUGUUAGGCAGUGGGUUAAAUACUGUUGAACAAGGUGUUGGGCAGUGUAUUGGGCAUUGUGUUAGUCGGUGUCUUGGGCAGUGUUUUAAGCACUGUGUUGGGCAGUGUGUUGGGCACUGUGUUAGUGUUAGUCAGUGUGUUAGUUUGUUGGGCAGUGUUGGGCACUGCGUUACAGUGUUAGUUUGUUAGUGUGCUGUACAGUGUGUUAGUCAGUGUGUUAGUGUGUUGGGCAGUGUGUUGGGUAUCGUGUUGGCCAGUGUCUGAGCCCUUGAGAGGUUCUCUCUCAUAUUCCACAGGCAUCUUGGUCUCCCUACUGCAGCACUUUCUCUUUGGGCAACAGAGAGUCCAAAUCAAGGUGAAGCCAUCCCUCCAGGUCAGACACCUUGUACAGUCUGUCCCACGCGCUAAACACCUCAUCUGCUGCACAUGUGCGUGUGUGCGCAUCUCAGAGGAUGCUGACCCACUUUACGUGUGGCUAAUCCUGGAUCAUGUAGGCUCAGGGAGAAUUACUGGCCUACUCUCACAUUCUGCUCUGAGCAGGACAGAUGAUAAAAAUACGACUUUUAUAACAGCAGAACACAGAAGUCGCCACAUAGUGCCAGAACACAGCACACAUCUGGGCACACACACACACACA